This 1146-nucleotide ribosomal RNA is filed under the name Triticum aestivum (bread wheat). RNAcentral's name for it is "partial small subunit ribosomal RNA". The record is from RNAcentral. Lineage: Eukaryota; Viridiplantae; Streptophyta; Magnoliopsida; Poales; Poaceae.
AUGGGGGACUUUGAACCCUACUCCCCGCCUCGCCGUGGUGCUGUUUUUGGUCGCAAUAGUCAUCAUUAUGGCCGUCGUGAUCAGGAUGACCGUGACAACCAAGCGAGAGUGAAGCUACAUGUACUAUCAUUCAUGGGAAAAGAGGACCCGAAUGCGUAUAUUGAGUGGGAAGAGAAGUGUGAUCAAAUCUUUUGCAUCCAUGGUUUUUCUGAAGCCAAGAGAGUUGAUCUUGCUGUUAUGGAGUUCUGUGGUUAUGCUCUUACAUGGUGGAAUCAGCUGCAAGACGAUCGGUUGAUGUCAGGCAAUAAUCAUAUCCGCAGCUGGACUUUGAUGAAGGAAGUCAUGAGGCGCCAUUUUGUUCCAUCCUACUAUGAGAGUCAAUUGUACAAGCGGUUGCAGGGGCUCACUCAAGGUUCGCGCACUGUUGAGGAGUACUAUAAAGAGAUGGAGGUGCUGCUAAUUCGGACAAGAACCCGUGAAAGUGAUGAGGCAAAGAUGGCAAGAUUUUUACAUGGGAUAAAUGAUGAAAUAUCAGAUUUUGUGGAGAUGUUUCCUUAUGAUACAUUACAAGAUGUGGUACAUCAAGCUAUAAGAGAUGAGAAGAAGAAUAUGUGUAAUGGUCGUACUCGUGCUUUCCAAGGUCACACCACCAUACGCUCAUGGCAGCGAGCACAACAGCCAUAUGGUUCUCAGUUUCAGGGUGCACCACCUAGACACCCACAUGCCUCGACGGCUUCCUCACCUGCUAUUCACAAUCAAGAUAAGCGGUCAUCAGCUACAGCAGGAGUAUCAUCUGCUCCACCUCUAGAAAAGAGUUCUACACGCAGCAACGACAUUCAAUGCCACAAGUGCAAAGGAAGAGGUCAUAUUUCUUCGGAAUGCCCAAGAAAAAGAACUAUGAUCAUCAAUGAGCGAGAUGAAUGGGAGUCUGAAAGUGACCCUGAAGGUGUCAAUGAUGAAGUGGAAGAGGAGCAAGGUUGGGAAGCAGGAGGAACUAUUUUAUCUCAUGAGGAACUUGAUGGAGAAGCGUUGGUUGUAUGUCGUUCACUUAGUGCCCAGGUUGUGGAGGAGCAAAAGGGGCAGCGGCAUAAUCUUUUCCACACCCGUUGCCUUAUCAACUCAAAGAUAUGUCGAGUUAUUUGUUGA